This 567-nucleotide long non-coding RNA is filed under the name Homo sapiens (human). RNAcentral's name for it is "non-protein coding lnc-CD72-2:6". Lineage: Eukaryota; Metazoa; Chordata; Mammalia; Primates; Hominidae. The record is from RNAcentral.
GACAGAGACGAGAGGGGCAAGGGAGGACAGUGGAUGACAGGGAAGACGAGUGGGGGCAGAGCUGCUCAGGACCAUGGCUGAGGCCAUCACCUAUGCAGAUCUGAGACCCAGGGGCUGAUGAUGAUGGGGAAAUCACCUACGAGAAUGUUCAAGUGCCCGCAGUCCUAGGGGUGCCCUCAAGCUUGGCUUCUUCUGUACUAGGGGACAAAGCAGCGGUCAAGUCGGAGCAGCCAACUGCGUCCUGGAGAGCCGUGACGUCACCAGCUGUCGGGCGGAUUCUCCCCUGUGAGUGUGCCUGUGCGGGGCAGCCGCGGGGCCAAGUGCUCGCGCCUGUCCCGGCUGCGGAUGGCGCUGGGCCCCGCGGGGUGCAGCUCCUUCCGGGAUAAACCCGGGCGCAGUCCUUCCGACGCCCGGGCUGCCGUGCCACAUUCACCUUCAUCCGGUGCGCCUGAAUCCGACGUGCACCGCCCCCCUGCGGAUGGUCCCAAUUCACCUACCUGCCCCCCUUCCCCUCUCUCCGUCUGAUAUUUCCUUCCCCUUCUCCCAGGUAACGCCCCCGAGUCCCCA